AGAGUGAACGCUGGCGGUAGGCCUAACACAUGCAAGUCGAACGGCAGCACAGUGGUAGCAAUACCAUGGGUGGCGAGUGGCGGACGGGUGAGGAAUACAUCGGAAUCUACCUUUUCGUGGGGGAUAACGUAGGGAAACUUACGCUAAUACCGCAUAAGACCUUCGGGUGAAAGCCGGGGACCUUCGGGCCUGGCGCGGAUAGAGUGAGCCGAUGUCGGAUUAGCUUGUUGGCGGGUAAAAGCCCACAAGGCGACGAUCCGUAGCUGGUCUGAGAGGAUGAUCAGCCACACUGGAACUGAGACACGGUCCAGACUCCGUACGGGAGCAGCAGUGGGAAUAGUUGGACAAUGGGCGCAAGCCUGAUCCGAGCCAUACCGCGUGGGUGAAGAAGGCCUUACGGGUUGUAAACGUCCCGUUUUAGUAGGAAAGUAAGUCCGUGACCGUUAAGUUAACCGAAGUAAGGAGUUA
Molecule: ribosomal RNA, 468 nt
Filed under: uncultured soil bacterium
Lineage: Bacteria
Description: bacterial SSU rRNA
Rfam family: Bacterial small subunit ribosomal RNA
Source: RNAcentral